This 73-nucleotide transfer RNA is filed under the name Lachnospiraceae bacterium. RNAcentral's name for it is "tRNA-Ala". It matches the Rfam family "tRNA". From Rfam's summary of the family: Transfer RNA (tRNA) molecules are approximately 80 nucleotides in length. Lineage: Bacteria; Bacillati; Bacillota; Clostridia; Lachnospirales; Lachnospiraceae. The record is from RNAcentral.
GGGCCAUUGGCGCAGCUGGGAGCGCGCUUCGUUCGCAACGAAGAGGUCGUGGGUUCGAAUCCCAUAUGGUCCA